This 74-nucleotide transfer RNA is filed under the name Candidatus Rifleibacteriota bacterium. Its description in RNAcentral is "tRNA-Arg". It matches the Rfam family "tRNA". From Rfam's summary of the family: Transfer RNA (tRNA) molecules are approximately 80 nucleotides in length. Their secondary structure includes four short double-helical elements and three loops (D, anti-codon, and T loops). Lineage: Bacteria; Candidatus Rifleibacteriota. The record is from RNAcentral.
GCGCCUAUAGCUCAGGUGGAUAGAGCACAGGAUUCCUAAUCCUGUUGCCCCAGGUUCGAGUCCUGGUAGGCGCA